GGUGGGGUAGCUCAGUUGGUUAGAGCAACGGAAUCAUAAUCCGUAGGUCGCCGGUUCAAGUCCGGCCCUCACUACCA
RNAcentral lists this transfer RNA (77 nucleotides) under Pseudobdellovibrionaceae bacterium. RNAcentral describes it as "Bdellovibrionaceae bacterium (activated sludge metagenome) tRNA-Met". It matches the Rfam family "tRNA". From Rfam's summary of the family: Transfer RNA (tRNA) molecules are approximately 80 nucleotides in length. Lineage: Bacteria; Pseudomonadati; Bdellovibrionota; Bdellovibrionia; Bdellovibrionales; Pseudobdellovibrionaceae. The record is from RNAcentral. RNAcentral also lists the same sequence under 2 other names.